UAUGCUUCUUCUUUGCUGAAAUGAAGAAUAGUUGCUCUAUCGUAAUUUCUUUCCAAUAUCUAGUUUCAACCUUGAAUUCUCCAAAUUAAUAAAAUGAUUAAAUGCGUGGGUUGCAAAAUGCUCUAUGUAAAGUCUAAAGUAAUUAAUGGAUAUAUUUGUGAUGAUUUGAGCUGCUAGUAUCCUGUUCUAAACAACGCUAGAGUUCUGGAGUUUUUACAAAAAUAAAAUAAUCACAUUGAGUUAGAUUAAGCUUUGUUGACCCUUUGAGAGGUUGUCAUACCAUUGAAAACAAAAAUAUUUCAUUAUGUUAUCAUCUCAAAAGUUUGUUAGAAGGCAUAUGGCUAUGAAAAAAAAGCAUCCGAGGAAAUAAAAAGGGACAUGUGUCCGAAACCUCAAAAAGAAAGAUCACGAGGAAAUAAAAAGGGACAUGUGUCCGGAACCUCAAAAAAAAAAGGGCAAGUGCCCAACAGUAGAAUUAGCCACAUAGCCAUGUGUCUCUAAUAGACAAAAAGAGAAUGAUGGAAAAGAAAAAGUUUUCAAAAAUUCAAUGGUAUGAUUAACUUUAUCUUUGGAUCCAUUGUUUAAUUUGACAAAUAAAUGUGCUAAGUUUUGAAAAUCAAAAAA
Molecule: long non-coding RNA, 624 nt
Filed under: Sorghum bicolor (sorghum)
Lineage: Eukaryota; Viridiplantae; Streptophyta; Magnoliopsida; Poales; Poaceae
Description: long non-coding RNA (SBIC_LNC014509)
Source: RNAcentral